ACGCAACUUGUUUUUUCUCCUCUGCAAUAAAAAAAAAACGAUGGUGCAGUUUCAAAAUGAAACGGCAUAGUGUUUCAGGAAAGUGGGGAUGUGGGGGAAUGUAGCCUGACUCGAGAAAACAGGUAAACUGAAGGAAUGGCCGGAGUUUAAGAGUUCUCUCGGACCAGGCUUCAUUCCCCUCAUCCACACCUUCUCCUCCUCCUCCACCUUGAUGUUUCAUCUCUCGCCAUACUUGUUCCAGCAUCUGAAAUAAGAAGUGAUCUUCGAAUAUCAAGAGGGCAAGAAGCUCAGCUUGGAGAGUGAAAAACCCAUCUUCGAAUAUCCAAUGGCAGCACUGCCGGAAGUGGACCACAUCAAGCCAGGAUAUUCAUGGCUUCCAUGAAGGAAUCAAACUAGCGUGCGGCCAUGUCUGCUCAGCUUGUAGUGAUUAUAAUAAAUAUGGAUUUCUGAAUUUCUAUCUACUCUUCUCCCCGUUAAGCCGUGCUUUUAACAGCUGUAACAGUUGUUUUAAUAAAUCUCUU
This is a long non-coding RNA of Populus euphratica (Euphrates poplar), 521 nucleotides long. RefSeq lists it as uncharacterized. NCBI's taxonomy places the organism in Eukaryota, Viridiplantae, Streptophyta, Magnoliopsida, Malpighiales, Salicaceae. The record is from RefSeq and is a predicted model, not a curated record. The transcript has 2 exons.